UUGGGCAUCCCAUUGGGUCUUUAUUAAGACAUAAUCAGUGCAAUACAAAUAAAUUUUUAAUUGGAUUGAGACUGAAAAUUAUAUUAUUAUAUUCUGUAAGAAUUUUGAUGUGAAUAUAACAAGUGAGACAGUGAAAUGUCGCUUGCUCUCAGGAUUUUAAUACAGGCACAUAUUUGGUCCGCUUCUUAUGGGUCUUCCUGGGGUUUGCCCGGGUUUGUUAAUGUGAGCCGUGCUGUUUCUGAAUGAACUUCGCUUUUAAUUUCAGCUACUGUAUGCUUUGUGGUGAACGUGCUUCGCCCUUAUUUUUUAAUGGUACGCAAUGGCUGACAGAGCCAGAGAACUUGUCCAAACACUUUUAGACAGUGACACAUUUAUUGAAACACUUGCAAAUGCAUGUGGUAGACCUGACACUACAAAUGCUCCACCACGAGACAGCCAUGCCCAAAAACGCCACCAAACCACUGAGGUAAACUCUUUGUUCAGUUGAGGCCAACAAAUUAGUUUUCCAGCACCGCUGUAUAAUCUGAGACGGUUUCCAAGGAACAGCAGACAAUCUUACAGUUCAUGAUGAUGCUGUAACCCUUGAGGAGCUCCUUAUUUUCACAAGUGGAUGUGACCAGAUUCCACCUCUUUUUUCCGGAGCCUUCUUUAGAGUUCAUCCCUGGUGCCAAAUUCCCGGUAGCAAACACCUGUGACAAUGUAAUUCGGAUUCCCCUGAAAAAUAGUUAUUCUGCUUUCAAAGCUGACAUGAAUUUUGGAAUUAAGAAUUCUCCAGGGUUUGGCAUGACUUAAACUUUACAUGCCCACACAAUAAACCCCCAAACUAAGGGGAUUUUGCGUUUU
Long non-coding RNA from Anguilla rostrata (American eel), 843 nucleotides. RefSeq lists it as uncharacterized. NCBI's taxonomy places the organism in Eukaryota, Metazoa, Chordata, Actinopteri, Anguilliformes, Anguillidae. The record is from RefSeq and is a predicted model, not a curated record. The transcript is spliced from 2 exons.